This 253-nucleotide ribosomal RNA is filed under the name uncultured bacterium. RNAcentral's name for it is "partial 16S ribosomal RNA". It matches the Rfam family "Bacterial small subunit ribosomal RNA", at positions 524 to 776 of the family's 1533-position model. The record is from RNAcentral.
UACGUAGGGAGCAAGCGUUAUCCGGAAUUAUUGGGCGUAAAGGGUGCGUAGACGGGUUAACAAGUUAGUUGUGAAAUCCCUCGGCUCAACUGAGGAACUGCAACUAAAACUAUUAAUCUUGAGUGCAGGAGAGGUAAGUGGAAUUCCUAGUGUAGCGGUGAAAUGCGUAGAUAUUAGGAGGAACACCAGUGGCGAAGGCGACUUACUGGACUGUAACUGACGUUGAGGCACGAAAGUGUGGGGAGCAAACAGG